AUUGAACGCUGGCGGCAUGCCUUACACAUGCAAGUCGAACGGCAGCGGACCUUCGGGUGCCGGCGAGUGGCGAACGGGUGAGUAAUAUAUCGGAACGUACCUUUCAGUGGGGGAUAACGUAGCGAAAGUUACGCUAAUACCGCAUAUUCUGUGAGCAGGAAAGCAGGGGAUCGCAAGACCUUGCGCUGAUUGAGCGGCCGAUAUCAGAUUAGCUAGUUGGUGAGGUAAAGGCUCAUCAAGGCGACGAUCUGUAGCGGGUCUGAGAGGAUGAUCCGCCACACUGGAACUGAGACACGGUCCAGACUCCUACGGGAGGCAGCAGUGGGGAAUUUUGGACAAUGGGCGCAAGCCUGAUCCAGCCAUGCCGCGUGAGUGAAGAAGGCCUCGGUUGUAAG
Molecule: ribosomal RNA, 395 nt
Filed under: uncultured bacterium
Lineage: Bacteria
Description: bacterial SSU rRNA
Rfam family: Bacterial small subunit ribosomal RNA
Source: RNAcentral